CUGCCCACUGACAACUGUUUAACGGCCGCGGUAUCCUAACCGUGCAAAGGUAGCAUAAUCACUUGCCUAUUAAUUGUAGGCUAGAAUGAAUGGAUAAACGAAAUAAAGACUGUCUCAGUCAGCAAUCUAAAAAUUAGCAUCUGUAUGAAGAGAUACAGAUAAAAUCGAAGGACAAGAAGACCCUAUAGAGCUUUAUUCUAAACACAGAUAGCCACUGUGUAAAAAUUCGGUUGGGGCGACCAAGGACAACAAUAAACACCCUGUAAACAAAAGAUUUAUUAAUCAAUUAAAUGACCCUUACUAAGAUCAAAAAAUCAAGCUACCUUAGGGAUAACAGGCUAAUCCUAUUUAAGAGUUCAUAUCUACAAUAGGGCUUGGCACCUCGAUGUUGGCUUAGGGUAUCAAUAUAGCGCAAAAGCUAUAUAAAGAUGGUUUGUUCAACCAGUAAUUCCCU
Molecule: ribosomal RNA, 454 nt
Filed under: Rhododrilus n. sp. 2 TRB-2010
Lineage: Eukaryota; Metazoa; Annelida; Clitellata; Crassiclitellata; Megascolecidae
Description: partial 16S ribosomal RNA
Rfam family: Bacterial large subunit ribosomal RNA
Source: RNAcentral